This 107-nucleotide non-coding RNA is filed under the name human gut metagenome. RNAcentral describes it as "Cyclic di-GMP-I riboswitch". It matches the Rfam family "c-di-GMP-I riboswitch aptamer", at positions 6 to 83 of the family's 87-position model. From Rfam's summary of the family: GEMM was predicted in a large-scale screen for bacterial structured RNA regulatory elements. Genes associated with GEMM are involved in a diverse array of functions, including chemotaxis regulation, signal transduction, secretion and chitin. The record is from RNAcentral.
UAAAGGGCAAACAUACAGAAAUGUAUGGACGCAAAGCCAGGAGUCUACGGGUAGUUAUUGAGGAAAGAAAGUUGUUAGAAUAAUAAUACCUAAGAUAGUCAGGUUGC